GGCAGGAAAGUGUACGCGCGGCUAGGCGAGCGAGCGAGCGAGCGAUUCCGCAUCGCGCGGCGGACGCGAAUUUCACACAAAACACAAGCCGUACACAGAAACGUAGAUACAGUGGCCUAGACAAGUAGGUCGCGGCGCAGUUCUCGCGGUGCGAGCUCGCGUGCGCGAGACCGCGACGCUCGUACUUGUGUCCGUGUGCGCGGCUAGACGAGCGGACGCGGAGCCGAAGCGUGUCGGUGCGCGUGUGAUCGCGCUCGCACACCACCGCACGCGGACAGGGGAGGAUAACGUAGGUUUUUCAUUCCUAAUGACUAGAAGAAAUUACCAAGAGAGAGAGAGAGAGAGGACGACCUUGAAGGGCAAGUUGCUCGUCGGACAUCGAAAGCCGCCAGUUCAAACACCCAGGUACAGAUCCCGCAGCGGAACGUUGCGCAAGAUGGUGUAACGGAGAAAACGAUAUCGUCGGUGUUAUCAGCGGAGUUUUCAAAGCAAGCACGAUAGUCGACCCGUCGUGUCUGUCACCGUGGAUAGUCACGGCACACCUAUCGACGCCCGACGUGAAAUAUGGGCGAAAGUAUUUUCUCUCGAGGCGGAAUCGCGUAAUAUCACUGGCGCAACGUCGUUCCUCGGCAACAAGAGCGCGAGAUAAUUGGAGUAUCCAGUCGUCCCGGUGAUUCUGCUGAUUCGGCUGUUUCUCGGCGAUCGUAACGUUUACGUAACCGAGGGAUCACUCUCGUACGGACAUUGUUACAAAUUUUGGUACAGGAAUAGAAUUUGUGAAAUUUCCAUCGGCAUGCACGCAACGCGAGGCACGAUUUUUCAGUUCGUUCGCGUUCGAUCUGACGAAAAGCAAUGUAUCGAGCGAAUACGACAACCAGCGACGAUUAGAAUUUUAAAAAUAGUUCGUUUUCGUGGCGAAACCGAGGUCAAACUUGCGUUUUUCAAACGGGGUCCGAUGUUUUUUUGUUUUUUUUUUUUUUUCGUUUCGUUCGUUACAUCCGUCGAGACAUCCUAAUAAAUUACGAGAAAGUCGAGACGUUCUCUAAUAAAUUACGAGAAAGCAUGCAAUUUUGUAUCUUCACUGGCAAAGUGCUAUUUCCGCGGUAAUGGGAAUUGAAAUUACUGAAUUUUCUCUCGCAUUCUAAUUUUGAACACCGUAAACAACGUCAAGCCUCGAAUUACAGAACGUAAACAUAGGCCGUUAGAAGCGAUUAUUAGUGAAUUUGUACGACGUAGCAAAGUAGGUGAACAUUAAAUUUCCAUUAUUGUAAAGAUAGCACCGUGUUGACAAAAAGUAUGAAAUUAUACGCUUCCCGAGCUCGUUCCAACGUCCCCUGUGCAACGUAAUGGGACAAGAAGAUAUCUGAUCUUGCUUACGAAGAACGCAAAGUGACCUUGGCUCCAUUACGAAAACGAACCACUUUUAAAAUUCUAAUUGCCGUUAUUCUGUUGUACGCACUGAUACUGACAAAUUUUUGUUCCAACGGCCGCGAAAGAUUGGCAAACCAGUGCGUCGUGUCACGUGUUCGAAACAAAUCUAAA
Frieseomelitta varia is the source of this 1542-nucleotide long non-coding RNA. RefSeq lists it as uncharacterized. The record is from RefSeq and is a predicted model, not a curated record. The transcript has 3 exons. NCBI's taxonomy places the organism in Eukaryota, Metazoa, Arthropoda, Insecta, Hymenoptera, Apidae.